This 492-nucleotide ribosomal RNA is filed under the name uncultured bacterium. RNAcentral's name for it is "partial 16S ribosomal RNA". It matches the Rfam family "Bacterial small subunit ribosomal RNA", at positions 29 to 507 of the family's 1533-position model. The record is from RNAcentral.
AGUGAACGCUGGCGGUAGGCCUAGCACAUGCAAGUCGAACGGCAGCACAGUAAGAGCUUGCUCUUACGGGUGGCGAGUGGCGGACGGGUGAGGAAUAUAUCGGAAUCUACUUUUUCGUGGGGGAUAACGUAGGGAAACUUACGCUAAUACCGCAUACGACCUACGGGUGAAAGCAGGGGAUCUUCGGACCUUGCGCGAUUGAAUGAGCCGAUGUCGGAUUAGCUAGUUGGCGGGGUAAAGGCCCACCAAGGCGACGAUCCGUAGCUGGUCUGAGAGGAUGAUCAGCCACACUGGAACUGAGACACGGUCCAGACUCCUACGGGAGGCAGCAGUGGGGAAUAUUGGACAAUGGGCGCAAGCCUGAUCCAGCCAUACCGCGUGGGUGAAGAAGGCCUUCGGGUUGUAAAGCCCUUUUGUUGGGAAAGAAAAGCAGCAGGUUAAUACCCCGCUGUUCUGACGGUACCCAAAGAAUAAGCACCGGCUAACUUCGUG